Molecule: ribosomal RNA, 330 nt
Filed under: uncultured bacterium
Lineage: Bacteria
Description: bacterial SSU rRNA
Rfam family: Bacterial small subunit ribosomal RNA
Source: RNAcentral
UCCGUAGGCGGUGCGGCAAGUCGGAAGUGAAAUCUCUGGGCUUAACUCAGAGGCUGCUUCCGAAACUGCCGUGCUCGAGUGUGAGAGAGGCGAGUGGAAUUACGGGUGUAGCGGUGAAAUGCGUAGAUAUCCGUAGGAACACCCGAGGCGAAAGCGGCUCGCUGGAUCACAACUGACGCUGAGGGACGAAAGCUAGGGGAGCAAACAGGAUUAGAUACCCUGGUAGUCCUAGCCCUAAACCAUCAGGACUUGGGGUUUGCCCUGUACGGGGCAAGUCCCGGAGCUAACGCGUUAAGUCCUGCGCCUGGGGAGUACGGUCGCAAGGCUGAA